GAUGAACGCUGGCGGCGUGCCUAAUACAUGCAAGUCGAGCGAACAGAUGAGAAGCUUGCUUCUCUGAUGUUAGCGGCGGACGGGUGAGUAACACGUGGGUAACCUACCUAUAAGACUGGGAUAACUCCGGGAAACCGGGGCUAAUACCGGAUAGUAUUUUGAACCGCAUGGUUCAAUAGUGAAAGACGGUUUCGGCUGUCACUUAUAGAUGGACCCGCGCCGUAUUAGCUAGUUGGUAAGGUAACGGCUUACCAAGGCGACGAUACGUAGCCGACCUGAGAGGGUGAUCGGCCACACUGGAACUGAGACACGGUCCAGACUCCUACGGGAGGCAGCAGUAGGGAAUCUUCCGCAAUGGGCGAAAGCCUGACGGAGCAACGCCGCGUGAGUGAUGAAGGUCUUCGGAUCGUAAAACUCUGUUGUUAGGGAAGAACAAAUUUGUUAGUAACUGAACAAGUCCUGACGGUACCUAACCAGAAAGCCACGGCUAACUACGUGCCAGCAGCCGCAGUAA
RNAcentral lists this ribosomal RNA (514 nucleotides) under uncultured bacterium. RNAcentral's name for it is "partial 16S ribosomal RNA". It matches the Rfam family "Bacterial small subunit ribosomal RNA", at positions 28 to 523 of the family's 1533-position model. The record is from RNAcentral.